GCCUAGGAAUCUGCCUGGUAGUGGGGGACGAACGUUUCGAGAGGAACGCUAAUAACCGCAUACGUCCUACGGGAGAAAGCAGGGACCUCGGGCCUUGCGCUAUCAGAUGAGCCUAGGUCGGAUUAGCUAGUUGGUGAGGUAAUGGCUCACCAAGGCGACGAUCCGUAACUGGUCUGAGAGGAUGAUCAGUCACACUGGAACUGAGACACGGUCCAGACUCCUACGGGAGGCAGCAGCC
This 238-nucleotide ribosomal RNA is filed under the name uncultured Pseudomonas sp. RNAcentral describes it as "partial 16S ribosomal RNA". It matches the Rfam family "Bacterial small subunit ribosomal RNA", at positions 115 to 355 of the family's 1533-position model. The record is from RNAcentral. Lineage: Bacteria; Pseudomonadati; Pseudomonadota; Gammaproteobacteria; Pseudomonadales; Pseudomonadaceae.